This 424-nucleotide ribosomal RNA is filed under the name bacterium. Its description in RNAcentral is "partial 16S ribosomal RNA". It matches the Rfam family "Bacterial small subunit ribosomal RNA", at positions 355 to 776 of the family's 1533-position model. The record is from RNAcentral.
UGAGGAAUAUUGGUCAAUGGACGCAAGUCUGAACCAGCCAAGUAGCGUGCAGGAUGACGGCCCUAUGGGUUGUAAACUGCUUUUAUGUGGGAAUAAAGUGGCGCACGUGUGCGCCAUUGCAUGUACCUCAUGAAUAAGGACCGGCUAAUUCCGUGCCAGCAGCCGCGGUAAUACGGAAGGUCCGGGCGUUAUCCGGAUUUAUUGGGUUUAAAGGGAGUGUAGGCGGUCUGUUAAGCGUGUUGUGAAAUUUAGGUGCUCAACAUUUAACUUGCAGCGCGAACUGUCAGACUUGAGUACACGCAGCGCAGGCGGAAUUCAUGGUGUAGCGGUGAAAUGCUUAGAUAUCAUGAGGAACUCCGAUCGCGAAGGCAGCCUGUGGGAGUGUUACUGACGCUUAAGCUCGAAGGUGCGGGUAUCGAACAGG